Long non-coding RNA from Dreissena polymorpha, 1211 nucleotides. RefSeq lists it as uncharacterized. NCBI's taxonomy places the organism in Eukaryota, Metazoa, Mollusca, Bivalvia, Myida, Dreissenidae. The record is from RefSeq and is a predicted model, not a curated record. The transcript has 10 exons.
CGUCUGAUAAUGCUGACGUACCGGCGUUCGCGGAAGAAACGUGUCUGUGUUAUUUUAAUUAUAGAAUACAAAUAAUUAUGGGAUAAUAAAGUUAUCAGCCUAAAUUAACUAAACAUCAUGCCAAUGAUCCGGAAGCUUCUAUUAAAACUGUGUACAAGGGGAAAAGCCGGCGAACAGUAGGCCUACAUGUCACCGAGAAGUGGGGCAGUAGGCAAAAGCUUGGAACGCAAUCACAAGAACUUGCAGAAGUUCAGAUUAAGAAUGAGAAACCAGAAACAAACUUAAUUGCUAACUGUACUACAAAUAGCAGUUCAGUAUCAGACGUAGAUACUUCGGUUACAUUUGAUGAACUGUACAGGUGUUGUGAUUGCUGUUCAUGGGAGACUACGUGCCUCACAUGCUUGCGGUUGAGGCAUAAACAUCCUCAUCUGCAUUUGGAAGAACAUGGCUUACCUUUCUUUCAUUGAUGAUGAUGAGGCUUGGAAAUUGAAUGACCAUUCCUGUAGCACUACUUACCUGAAAAAACUCGUGGUCGUGGAUGAUAAAGGUCGACAGCAUUUGAAGACCCUGCAAUUUUGCAAGUGUGAAGUUGAAGCUGUACGCUUGAUUAGGUUCAACCUGUGGCCAUCUUCAACCAAAUUUCCAAACGUGGCAUUUCACUUUGACUUCAUGCGCUGGUUAUGUGGUCUUCUUCUUCUUGAAAAGCUCGGUGUCAUUUAAAAGUUUCUGCUCCGCAUUAGACGCGUGGACAUCAAAGCACAUGAAGACAUAUAUUCAUCACCCUGUCAAAGAUUUGUACAAAGUGCUUGUAGGAGGAACAGCCGAUGAAUUUCGACAUUUUAUCUACCAAAUGGAAAACAUCCACGAUGAUGGAUCCAAAUGUCCAGCUUGUUAUGAGGAUUCUCCCUCCCUGAUAAGCUUGCUAGAGCAGAGGAUAUAGAAAAAAAAAGCAAGGAGGCUCUUCAAGAAAUUUUGGAACCUUUUGCAGGAGUAACAACUGAAUGUCUACAGGAAUGGAUAGAUUAUGAGCGGGUUGUGUGUAUCCGCAGCAAAUCAACUGAAAAUCACUCCUUGUCACCUGCUGAAGAGUAUUGUCUAGUCCUGGAGGAGCUAACAAAAUACAGGGGUGUGUUUGCGACGGAUGUAAACAAAGAUAAGAAAAGGCUAGAGACAAAACUGAAAAAGAAAGGGAAGAAGGCUGGUGUCAAAUG